GACGAACGCUGGCGGCGUGCUUAACACAUGCAAGUCGAACGGUGAAGCGCCUUCCUUUUUGGUGGGUGUGGAUGAGUGGCGAACGGGUGAGUAACACGUGAGUAACCUGCCCCCUUCUUCUGGAUAACCGCAUGAAAGUGUGGCUAAUACGGGAUAUUCUGGGUCUGUCGCAUGAUGGGUCUGGGAAAGAUAUUGUUUCGGUGGGGGAUGGGCUCGCGGCCUAUCAGCUUGUUGGUGGGGUGAUGGCCUACCAAGGCGGUGACGGGUAGCCGGCCUGAGAGGGUGGACGGCCACACUGGGACGGAGACACGGCCAAGACUCCUACGGGAGGCAGCAGGGGGGAAUAUUGCACAAUGGGAGCAAGCCUGAUGCAGCGACGCCGCGUGAGGGAUGGAGGCCUUCGGGUUGUGAACCUCUUUCGCCAGUGAAGCAGGCCUGCCUCGUUUGUGGGUGGGUUGACGGUAGCUGGAUAAGAAGCGCCGGCUAACUACGUG
This 494-nucleotide ribosomal RNA is filed under the name uncultured bacterium. RNAcentral's name for it is "partial 16S ribosomal RNA". It matches the Rfam family "Bacterial small subunit ribosomal RNA", at positions 28 to 507 of the family's 1533-position model. The record is from RNAcentral.